Molecule: ribosomal RNA, 881 nt
Filed under: Staphylococcus haemolyticus
Lineage: Bacteria; Bacillati; Bacillota; Bacilli; Caryophanales; Staphylococcaceae
Description: bacterial SSU rRNA
Rfam family: Bacterial small subunit ribosomal RNA
Source: RNAcentral
GCAGGAGAACGCUGGCGGCGUGCCUAAUACAUGCAAGUCGAGCGAACAGACAAGGAGCUUGCUCCUUUGACGUUAGCGGCGGACGGGUGAGUAACACGUGGGUAACCUACCUAUAAGACUGGGAUAACUUCGGGAAACCGGAGCUAAUACCGGAUAAUAUUUCGAACCGCAUGGUUCGAUAGUGAAAGAUGGUUUUGCUAUCACUUAUAGAUGGACCCGCGCCGUAUUAGCUAGUUGGUAAGGUAACGGCUUACCAAGGCGACGAUACGUAGCCGACCUGAGAGGGUGAUCGGCCACACUGGAACUGAGACACGGUCCAGACUCCUACGGGAGGCAGCAGUAGGGAAUCUUCCGCAAUGGGCGAAAGCCUGACGGAGCAACGCCGCGUGAGUGAUGAAGGUCUUCGGAUCGUAAAACUCUGUUAUUAGGGAAGAACAUACGUGUAAGUAACUAUGCACGUCUUGACGGUACCUAAUCAGAAAGCCACGGCUAACUACGUGCCAGCAGCCGCGGUAAUACGUAGGUGGCAAGCGUUAUCCGGAAUUAUUGGGCGUAAAGCGCGCGUAGGCGGUUUUUUAAGUCUGAUGUGAAAGCCCACGGCUCAACCGUGGAGGGUCAUUGGAAACUGGAAAACUUGAGUGCAGAAGAGGAAAGUGGAAUUCCAUGUGUAGCGGUGAAAUGCGCAGAGAUAUGGAGGAACACCAGUGGCGAAGGCGACUUUCUGGUCUGUAACUGACGCUGAUGUGCGAAAGCGUGGGGAUCAAACAGGAUUAGAUACCCUGGUAGUCCACGCCGUAAACGAUGAGUGCUAAGUGUUAGGGGGUUUCCGCCCCUUAGUGCUGCAGCUAACGCAUAAGCACUCCGCUGGAGAAUCGACUUGG